This 241-nucleotide unclassified non-coding RNA is filed under the name uncultured Holophagae bacterium. RNAcentral describes it as "contains 16S-23S intergenic spacer region". Lineage: Bacteria; Pseudomonadati; Acidobacteriota; Holophagae. The record is from RNAcentral.
UCCCCGAUUUCCGGGGCACUCAUCUCUGAGCGUUUCCUGUACAGUUCAAACCCAGGUAAGGUUCUGCGCGUUGCUUCGAAUUAAACCACAUGCUCCACCGCUUGUGCGGGCCCCCGUCAAUUCCUUUGAGUUUCAGUCUUGCGACCGUACUCCCCAGGCGGAGUGCUUAAUGUGUUGACUUCGGCACAGCAGGGGUCGAUACCCGCUACACCAAGCACUCAUCGUUUACGGCGUGGACUAC